UACGUAGGGUGCAAGCGUUGUCCGGAAUUAUUGGGCGUAAAGAGCUCGUAGGCGGCUUGUCGCGUCGGCUGUGAAAACCUGGGGCUCAACCCCGGGCCUGCAGCCGAUACGGGCAAGCUAGAAUUCGGUAGGGGAGACGUGGAAUUCCUGGUGUAGCGGUGAAAUGCGCAGAUAUCAGGAGGAACACCGGUGGCGAAGGCGGGUCUCUGGGCCGAUACUGACGUGAGGAGCGAAAGCGUGGGGAGCGAACAGG
Molecule: ribosomal RNA, 253 nt
Filed under: uncultured bacterium
Lineage: Bacteria
Description: partial 16S ribosomal RNA
Rfam family: Bacterial small subunit ribosomal RNA
Source: RNAcentral